This 1792-nucleotide long non-coding RNA is filed under the name Equus caballus (horse). RNAcentral describes it as "lncRNA (ENSECAG00000047919.1)". Lineage: Eukaryota; Metazoa; Chordata; Mammalia; Perissodactyla; Equidae. The record is from RNAcentral.
UGAGAAUGGGAGCUGAGAGAGUCAUACCUCCAGUUCUGUGGAAACAUGUCAGAGGGAAUCUGCAGUUGAGAAGUCACGAAGGUGUCAGAAUUCGUGACAGAUGGCACAGAGGCAGGGAAGCGCAGGGCUGAUUUGGAGAAAGAAGAGUCUCAUGUGACUGGAACAUAAGAGGGUUUUGGGGGAUGCUGUUGAGCAAGCCAAGUGGGUGGAUCCAAGUACUUAAGAGCCUUACUUGCUGAAAUAGUUGGAUUGUAUUUAAUAGGCAAUGAGGAAUCAUGUAAAGCUUUCCAGAGGGCAACAGCAGGAUUGGAGAGGUGUAUUAGGUGCCGGUGUGUCCCAUGGAGGAUAGACACCAGCUAUUUGGGACAAAUAUAGGAAUGCAUGUCAGGGGCAAGGACAGUGCUGGCAGGGCUGGCACUACUCAAGCAAGUUGACUGACAGCAGGGAUCCCAUGAGUUGUCAGGGGUCUCAGCAUGAGAGCAAAGCGUGUCAGAACCCUUUCUCAAAGCUGGGCUGCAGCUGGGAGAGGAUGGCAGGCCAAGACGGGCUCCAGCCCAGAUGAGCCUGGACAGGAUCCUGGCAAAAGGAGCUCACCUGUGCACAUUAUGAUGUAUGCUGGAAGAGAGCAGAAGCUGGGAUUAAGCACUACGUGGGGGAGCCAGGAACACUGCUGGGAGGGUGGUCAGUGCUGACAGGGAGAGUUGCAGCUCUGGUGCCAUGGUGGUUCAGGGCACAGCAUGACAGUGAUGGCUGAGUUCUCUGUCUGGGAUCAUGAGUAGAGUUGACCAGGGUGGAGAAGAGAGGAGGAGGAGCAUGCUUAGAGGAAAAGAUACUGAGCUGAGUUGGGGGCAUGUGAAUUUGAGGUGCCUGUGGGACCCUCCAUUGGGGACGUUCAGUAGACACGUUGGAGCAUCAGUUAGGCCCUGGAAAUGGGGCUUUGGAGCCUUGAAGAGAAGUCAGGAAUUGGGUCUUUGCCUGAGAGAUGGUUCUGGUGGUGACGGGAGUCAAUGAGACUGCUCAGGUUGAAACAAAGCAAGCAAGCCAAGGAAAAUCAUGGUCAAGGCAUCUGAAGGCCAAGGGUGGACAUGUGUACAAGUGCCAGUGGAAAAUGGCUUUUCUGGAAUAUCAGGUUUGGUCCUAAGAGACUAAGGGCACUCCACGUGGUGAGCAAUAAAUCUGGAUUCUGCUGUGUUUAAUUAAGCGUGUCACCAGCAUGGAAUGCGACCAUGGAUUGGCCUGUGACGAGCCUCCUUCUCCUAGAGAGAGAAGUUCUAGCCUCGUCUUCUGCUCCUGUGGAGUUUUCCAUUGCUUGGAAAUGGUUUGUAAGGUGAUGGAGUCCCAUGGAUGCCAGCUGGCAAAGGAAGAUCAGAGAAGGAGGAGAAGUUGAGUCAGUGGAGGGGAAAGAUUGCUGGAUGAUAUUUUCUUCACAGCUGUAGUGUCAAUAAAUAAAGACUUUGAUCACCCAUAAAGACCAAGGUUCCACGCUCCUGCCCUCUUUCUGCAAGUUAAUUGAUAAAUGUUAAGAGAAUGAUGUAGUGUCUUCUUACUAAUCCCUGAAAAGACUCUCUGAACACAGCAAUAUCAUCAUCAAGUGAACUUCACAAAUCCUAGGACAAAAGAGAGCUGAUAGCCAUGUCACACGUGCCUGAAUUUCCUGCACAGGUUUCUUGUUAUGUGGCAGCCCAAUCUAUGCCUGACCAUGUCCAGAGAACGGAAAUGCACCCUCUCAAAGGGAAGCCCAUUCCACCUCUGGAGAAUUCAAGUUAUUGAAAGGGUCUUGCUUAUAUUAUUG